AGCUAACGCCCUGGUUUAUCUCCAGAAGCUAGACUGAAUCAAGAAACUGCUGUCCCUAAAACAGUGCCGAGAAACCGUUUAAACCACAUCGUUGGACAGAAAUAGCGACGCAGAAAUACCUUAGGGGGCCGCUGGGGCAGUUUCCGCCAAUGCUCUUAUUACAAGCAUUAACAAGGUGUGGAGACCUGCAUUUCCUAGCCUGUGGGAACAACUCUGGGGAAAGGUGUUUGGCCAGACACAGCAGGAUUGGUGAUGCCAGCUCAGGAAAGACACGCCUCGCGAGAUCAGGCUGAAGCUCAGGCCCCUCCCAGCCCACUCCAGCUCUUAACACAUGCUCAGUCCCAGGCUGAGCAGGGGCUGCAGCUGGGAUGUGAGCACGCUUUGUUCUCAGAGGGUCGCCGUGUUGCAAGAAGCUUCCUGAUGAGGAAAGGUACGUUUCUGGGGGAGCUCAGCAGAGAGUGUAAAGGAUUUAC
RNAcentral lists this long non-coding RNA (473 nucleotides) under Meriones unguiculatus (Mongolian gerbil). Its description in RNAcentral is "lncRNA (ENSMUGG00000011392.1)". Lineage: Eukaryota; Metazoa; Chordata; Mammalia; Rodentia; Muridae. The record is from RNAcentral.